AUCCCCCGACCUCUAUACUUCUGACACAAGGCUGUGUGAAGGCAGCCAUAAAUUCCAAAGGAGAAUGUACUGCCUCAUGGCCACAGUAUGGAGAGAGAGGGAGACAAAGGAAUUCUUCCAACUCACAGGACGGGGGAACCGAACGACAUUUAUUUUCUGGAAAAGAGGUGAGUCUUCAGUUAAUUACUCACCAACUGAAUCGAGAUCUGCUCAGCCAAGAUACACACACAGAAGCCAGGUGGUGACACGCAUCUCUGCGUGCCUGGCAGAUAUCUCAGCUUGGAUGUCGGCCCACCACCUCAACCCCGACAAUACGGAGCUGCUCUUCCUCCCGGGAAAGGCAUGCCUGCUCCAAGACCUCUCCGUCAUGGUUGACAACUCCACUGUGUACCCCUCCCAGAGUGCAAAGAACCUU
RNAcentral lists this long non-coding RNA (415 nucleotides) under Salmo salar (Atlantic salmon). RNAcentral's name for it is "lncRNA (ENSSSAG00000118515.1)". Lineage: Eukaryota; Metazoa; Chordata; Actinopteri; Salmoniformes; Salmonidae. The record is from RNAcentral.